Molecule: long non-coding RNA, 20963 nt
Filed under: Musa acuminata (dwarf banana)
Lineage: Eukaryota; Viridiplantae; Streptophyta; Magnoliopsida; Zingiberales; Musaceae
Description: long non-coding RNA (MACU_LNC006073)
Source: RNAcentral
CCCGCGCCCUGCACCCUUCCGAGGAAGGUGGAGCUUUCGUCGGGGCCGACCCUCAGCACGGUGUCGUAGAUCUCGAUGUUCCCGAAGGUGUAGGGGAGGCUCAUGUUCACCACGGUGACGGUGGUGUUGUCGGGACCGAUAAAGGUCUCGUGGAAGUAGACGCGGAAGUGGAUUCUCUUCUGGAUGCCGAGUUCGAACUCGGAGGUGACCGGGAAGGCCGUGGCAGCAGCCUGGAGGAGGAAGAAGACGAGGAGGAAGUAGAGAUGAGUGGAGCUGUGUGGGGAUGAAGCCAUGGCUAGGAUGACACAAGGAUCGAAGUGAGGUGGGUACAACGCUGGAUCAGGAACAUGUGUUUAUAGAGUAAUGUCUGCGCCAUGCGUCGUUGACAAAUACCAACUUUCAUAAACAUGUAAACACCAUGCCACACGGAGAUGGAAGAUGGAAGAUGGAAGUAAUAUAGAUAAUCUUGAGCAAUGAAGAUGGAUAACUGAGAGAUCGAUGAUAGUUGCAAGCAGUGGCCAAUGAGGAUAGUGUUGCGUCUUCUGCUAGUGUCAACUGGCCACAUGUAACUCAUGAAUUUGUCUUUUUCUUAACCAACCACAUCGUUCGAUGAUAGUUGCAAACGUUGACAUAAUGCAUGUCAACGUUUCCAUGUGAAUAACACCCACAUAAUCCUUCACCUAUCAAAGGUGUGAUCGGUUGACAAAGUUCAUCAUUAUUAUGUAAGGUACAUUUAUAUUAGAGGAUCGUCAAAUGCCAGUGCAUGUCAUGGUACUUUUCAAUGUGCAUAAUUGACACAAACUGUGUGGAAUCUCUCCCUCUUACUUGCCCCUUCACACAAUGCAUUUCUUUAUCAACAUAUGUUUGCUUCACCUGAGUCAACUGUUCAUGUGAUCCACACUAAAGCCUCCGUCGGUUCAGCAAAAUCGGCUAAUUGUCGUUACUUAAUGUUGAAAAUUGAUAACAAGUCUUUGUAAGACUAUCAAUUAAGAAUUUUGCACAUUUAGUCUCAAGUUGAUUAGAGAUUUAAAGAGUCAAUAGCUAAUGAAGAAUCAAAUAUCUUGAAAGGCAAAGAACCGGUCCUACUUAACAAUUUAUUAACAUUAAAAGAGCUCAAGAUUAAUGUUUUUUUUUAUUGAGGUAAAUAAUUUGUGAAAAAUAAGAGUAUUAUUUUAGACAAAAUAAGUAGUAAAAAAGAGGAUCAAAUUGAUUAACGAAACGUGGCAUGUCCACGAAUCUUAAAGCAUCAGAUUGCAUCAGUAACUAGCGACCACCAAAGCAGUCUCCACGGUGAGAAGGGGGAAAUGACGAUGUGAAGAAUCGCAGAGGCGGCUCUCCUCUUUGUCCUCCUCGGUGGCAACGAGCGCGAUUUGGUGAUCAAGGUCCGAUCACUUACGAUCCCUUCUCGUCCAAUUUUCCCAAUCUUGGUUAGAGUUUUAAUUUGAUGGAGUGCUUGACGCCGUCUUGUAGUUUUGAUGUCAAUUUCUUGGUGCGAUCUACUGUUCGAUCAGAAUCUUUGAUGGGUCCUAGCCGAUGAUCAUGCAACCUAGUUGCUCUAUGAUCAACGAAAACGAAACCUAAUAUUAUAGUUUCUUUUUCCUCUCAGUUUAGAUUCACUUCUUCCCCUUGAUCACGCAAGUAGUCGAAGCUUAACUGCAGGAAUUGUUCGAGUUUUUUUCACGUAUUUGAGCUUUUUGUGUCGUAACCUACUACGUUUUCUUGAUUUUAGACUGAACUAGGCUUUGCACUUGGUUGCUAUAUAUGCAUUCAAGAUAAUACUCUUGCCAUCAAAUCAUUGAAUUAUGUGGGGAUUAUUCAUCGAACAGAUUCCCUUUAAGUCGCAUAGUCUUUUGUUCCUUUCCCUGGUUCUGUUGCUUGUUGCAUAUCUUAAGUACAUUACUGUUUCCUAUGUCUGCAUCUCAUGUAUUUCACGUUAUCCAAGCAAGAAAUUUGUCAGAUGUGCAUGAUGUUCAACCAAUUGAUCUAAUAAACGCCAACUUUAUCUACACAUCAAUUGAAAGAAAAGAACAUCUUAUCAUUAUUCCAGUUUCACAGCUAGAAAGUAGUGAUGCAUCUGAAACUGUAGCUGUAUGUGAAAAUUUCGGCAAGUCAGGUAAAAGAAGUAAGUAUUAAGAAGGAAAUGUAUUGGUACCCCUUCCAAUAAGGAGAUAAUAGUUAAACAAGUUGCUAUCGAUUAAACUUAUGGGUCAUAUAAUUUAGACCUUUUUAGGUCUCGUCUACAUUGUUAGUUGUUAUCAAGGAAGUAACUAGCAAUUUAUUGUGAUUCAUGAAUUCCUUUGCAUAGGAUGGAUUUAAUAAUGUUGCAUGAGUAAGGCUUUCUGCAUUAUGGCAUGGCUCAUGUUGAUAAUAUGCGGGCACAUAAAAACUACUGUAAGGGUCUACUUACAGAACCUUAUAGGAAGAUGUUUUGGAUAAUGGCUACAUGCAAUUAGUGGUGUUAAGGAAGGGACCUAUUUUUGGGUUGAUUACAUUGUAACAUUGCAGUGCCUUUAAAUUAGUAAGCUGCAAUAUAGAGAUUAAUAAGGGAACGUUGUGUACUCUUCUGAACCAAAUGAUGUUGUAUUUCUUCUUAUUUGGAGGUUUCAAGUUUCUUGAUUGAGUUUCAUUUUGUUGUAGUCUUUAUCUAAAUUUGACUCUUAAAAACCUCGAGUAAUUUAGUGAAUGUUGUUGGAUAAUGCUUCAAUCAUAGUUGGUGUGUUGCCAUCUAUAAUUAACUCCAGAUGACUAGAAGACGGGAGGAACUAAAAGACAAUCAAGUAAAAUGUUGGUAAACAAAACUUAAUAGGUACAAAGGCAUUUUAGUUUUUAGGUUGUUCAUUUAGUUGAUGUCACAUGGAAUAUCAUGUCCACAUCCACAAACUAUGUUUGUUUGUAGAGAGUACCUGUGCCAUUUAUUAGAUUCUACCCAACUAUCAUGUGACAAUAACAAUAUAAAAGGUUGAUUUUUUUAAUAUAUAGCGUCCUCAGAUUUGUCCAAUGAUGCAACUCAAAUUAGAUGAUUUUUGGCGACUUGAAACUUCAAAUACGUCUGCUUGAGUACCAUGGGUGCCAGCAGCAUUAUCUAGGCCAGUUUCACAUCAAUUUUAAGAGUAGCUGGAUGAUGAUAAAUUAAACCAUAUCAUCAAGACUCCUGCUUCUGUGUAUUGUAGUUUUAUUGAUCCUGAUCUUCCAUUAGAAUUUUAAGACUCAUGCAUGCGAAUACAUCAGAACGUCCUUUAAUUGAUGAAUUCUUUACCUCUGUCUUGACGAGCAGUUUCACCAGGAAUCAAACUAAUGGUGCAUGGCCUGAAGAAUGUAUGGGGAUCAAUGCGUGCAGUAGUUUCCACAGCAUGUGAGUUUAUGGUACUAACAUCAAAAGGAGCCGCUGAUGAGAAUAUUGUAGAGCAAAGACUGCUCAAGGAGCUGUGCAAACAUGGCUUUUAAUAAAAUUGACUUGGAUAGGGAGUUUUCUUGGGCUAAAAGAUUAUGACCUGUAGCAGUCCAUGGAUGAGCUUUUUGGUUGUGUAUGAUGAAUAGAUUUUUGCCUUGAGAGCAGAGCUUCAGGUUCUCGUUAGCCUGUAACUCCUUGCUUCUUUUAUCACAUGCUUUAGUGAUCCUCGAUGCCUGCAAGAUUACUGAAACUAAUAUUUGAGAUUGGUAGCCCAAUUUUUUCUCUCUCCAGUGGGUAGUUCAUUUGGUACCCUAUGGACUCGGUAUCUUUCCUUGCUUAUCCCGUAGCAGCAGCGGAAAUUUUGGUAGGAGAAGCUUUAGAUUGACUUUGUUUUCUCCAGUUUGUGGUACAAAUAUCAUUAUCUGAUGUGGUGUCUCUUGAGAUUGAUGUGGCAGGUUCUAAAUCUUACCAGGUAUUAAAGGAUUGUGGAUGUUACUUUUUCUUCUUUUUGAUUCCGUUGAAAUCUUUUGGUAGGUUGUAACUCACAGACGGAGAUUGAGCCGCAGCAAAUUGACUUGAAGAGCAUCAUCAUGGCAGCAACUGGGCUUGGACUUGUUUGAGGGAAGGUCACUUGGACUGGUAUGCUACUUAGCCCAAUCCAAUUGUUUGGUUACCGCAAAGCUCACUGGUUCAACAGAGAUGCAUACUAUUUCACGAGGGAUUACCUUGUUUAACUUUUGCUCCUAAGCCAUACAACACCAACGCUAACAGCUGAAGAAGAAUAUUUGGGAGUCUCAAUUAGAUCUUACAGAUCGUGUUCUCCCCUUCUGCUGCUUAGGAGGAUGGCGACGAAGCUGAGGCCAGCGCAGCCGCCGGUGACGAGGUUGCCCUCGCGGACGAGGAUCUUGAGGGCGACGGCGCUGAUGUCGGCGGUGAUCCGCCGCCCCUCCAUCACCAGCGCCCGCCACGGCUUCCCGGCGAAGGCGAGCAGCACCAGGACGGUGCAGCACGUGACCAGCGUCGCUGGCACCGCCACCGGUAGCGCUGCCCCCACGGACAACAUCCCGAACAACUCUCCGUACUGAUUGUGUAAAUGUAAAGACAAAGUUUGAUUGAAGCUUAUUAACAUGUUCCCUGGGGGGAGGAUUUUCAGAGCAGUGAGAUUUCCUCGUGCAAUCGGAGAAAUCUUAUUUGCUAUCACAUACAGCACCGACGUAUACAACCUCGACGACCAUGAUGAUGAGGAGGACGAGGAGGAGGCGACGAUGUUGUACCAGGAAUGGAUGGCAAGGAGGAGGCCCCAGGAGCAAUGAAGGAGGAGGGUGUAGAAGAGGAGAAAGAGGUAGACCCAUGUCCGCCUCUUGUUCGUAACUCUGGUAUGUCCGCGGUCGCCCUUGGAUGCUUGUUUCUCAUGGCCAGUGCUGCAGUUGCUGUUGCAGAAGAAGUGGAUGUGUAGCAGAAGCAAAAGUAAGUCCAACUCUGCUUGUGUCUCUGAGUUUCCCACCUUAGUCAAGCCAGCUGAAUAGCCUACUCACUUUUUUUAAUUUUUAUUAUUGUUUUAUCAUUUUUUAGAUGAAUGAUAAUAUUUAUAUAUGAAAAGAUAUUUUAUCUCAUUAUUUUACUUAAUAUUUUAAUAUUUAUAUCGAUAUUGGACUAACGGGAGAUGCCUUGCUCGGAUAGAAUAUAUCUAAGGGGGGAUAUAUAUAACUGAUAAGGGUAAUAAUUGUAAUAAGACUCACGUGACAUCAGCUGCAUCAGGUGACGCAUCACGCCUCUGUUGACUUGAUGAGGCACCUGGUCAACGUGGAUCGGAACGCCUACCAAGGCGCAUUAACGCUCUGUUCAGGUUCGAUCCCUCACGCCACGCCAACGGCAACGUUAGACGCUACCAGAAGUACGGUCCCGCUCCCUGCGGGCCAGCACAUUAGACAACGGUAAUUAUCACUAUAAAAACCCUCGCACUCUGAAGGGAAAAAAAGGGGGGGAGGGAAGGGAGAAAUCCCCUAGGACCAUCCACUAACUUGAUCGUCAGAGGGAUCGGGUCGAGCUCCCCGACCCGACCUUUGUGUAGGUGCGAAGGCGGAGGUCGUCCACCAAAGGCGCAGGCGGGGGUUCCCUCCCGGUGAAAACAGCGACCUCGUCCCAAUCGGAACACCGUGAUCGGCCACCUUAGCAGUCGGGAGGAGCGUCCCAGGAAGAUCCCCGUCAUCCGGACCCGAACCAAACCGCGUCGGUCCCGAUGCCACGGCUUAAAGUUGUUCACACUAACACUAACAUUUCGAUGUUUGUAUUAUGUUGGGACAUUUUUUUUUCGGUGAGAUAGUGAGUUGAGUAUUUUUUAUCCGAUCAAAAAGUUAUUUGAUAUAUUUAUAUUAUUGGGAUCAAUAUAGUAUAGAUGGGUCUAAUUUCUCUUACAAAAAAGAAUACCAUGAUUUAAACAUUGGGACUGAAAAAAAAUCUUAUAAGAUGCAAAGUUCAAGCACUAUCUUGGGUGGUCAGGUUGGGAACUCAUUGGAAGCUCUAUUACCACCGAUUAUGUAAGGUUAAAUUAUUUAAUUAGAAAAUAUUUAUUUUGCAUGUCAUAUUGAUGCGAAACAUCAUUAUUUUCAAACUAAUUAUCUCCUAUUUAUAUCGAAUCCAGAUUAAUUAUCCAUUGAAUUGUACCUAAUUUAUAAGGAUUCGCUGAAGGUAAAAUAAGCUUGAGAUAAUAUAUGAGUUCCACCCUUAAAAGAGAUGAUGAUUGAGCAAUUAGUUUAUCCCUCUAACUAUGGAGUAGGUUGGGAAGUCGAUGAAGCUCGAAAGAGAGGAUCCUGAGCAAGCAAUCAACCAACCUCAGUGGUUCUUCACUGAAAGGAGGAAGCAACGUAAGCAACAUCUAUGGAUGAGAGCAUUUUUCAUAUUUUUAAUGGUGGAGAAUCCCCGUUGAUUUGAGUUGAAAGUGUCAACUAGAAAUAAUCAAUAGAUCAUGGUCGCUAAUAUCAAGUUAUCUCCGAUAACAUCAAAAUCUCACUUCAAUAAUAUCUUCCAUUGUAAGAAUCCAACCCACAACAAUUAAAUACAAGAAAUGUGAUAGGGAAAGAGAUCAACUUCAAAAUCUCUAUGAGAAUGAUCGUUAGAUUUAAUAUUAUACUGGAUAGUAAUUGUAAUACCCCAAUUAGAAGUGAUAUGGUGAUAAUUGUCCAUCAGGACUUCUUUUAUAUUCUCAUAAAACUUUUCAUUAACUCAAGCAAAGUUCUUCAUGAUGUAUCACAUGUUAUGAAUAGUAUAUAUAAAUAGGGGAUCGAUACAUGAACCACCAUAUAUUGGGAGGUACAUAUUACAUGACCCUAUAUUAGACAAUACAGGAUCUAUACCAAUUGGUAUUGAUUGAAAUCCAAUCAUUAUAAAUUUGUGCUGACAAUUAUAUUGGGAGGUUACAAUUGCUUUAUUUUAAAUGAUCAAUUUGAUUGUUUGAACUAUAGAGAAGGGGUUUUAAACCCUUUCUUCUCUCCUUUUUCUACCAAUUUCACUCAAUCUUUUCAACUCUUUCUCACUUAUAUCUUUUUCUCAUUGUCAUGUUUUCACUCUCUUAAACUCAUCAUAACUAUAAUUCAUGGAUUAGAACAAAUGUGAGAGGCUAAUUUAGAAGGAUUACAAGAAGAAUAUUUUGAUCGAGAGGUAUAUAUUAUCAUUCUAGAUUUUUAUUUAUAUAUGAGAUGAUUAAGCCUAUUCUAUGUUUAUUUAUACAAUUUGAUGGUGAUGUAUCUAGAGGAGCAAUCUUUUACACUUGUCAUCUAGAUUCAGGCUCGAUAAUGUACUAGUUAAAUUUACACUAUGCCAUAAUGGGGGUUGAGGAGGAGGAUGCGACAUGAUGACAUUUACUGAUGAGAGCUUCUUUCAUAUUCUUAAUAGUGGAGAAUCUCUCGUUGACUUGAGUUUAAAAUGUCAACAAUAAAGACUCCGCUAAUAUCAAGUUAUCUCUAAUAACAUCAAAAUCUCACUUCAAUAAUAUGUAAAAAUCCAACCCAAGACAAUCGAAUAUAAGAAAUGAGAUUGGAAGGAGUUUGACUUCAAAAUCUCUAUAGAAAUGAUGUUAGAUUUAAUACUAAACUAGAUAGUAAUUGUAACACCCCAAUUGGAAACAAUGUGGCAACAAUCAUUGGCAAGGGCUUCUUUCAUAUUCUUAAGGUGGAGAACCUCCUAUUAAAUCAAGUAAGAUUCAUUGUACCAUGAUAUACCAUCUGAGACAAAUGAUACAUAUCAUUCUGACAAGGGAUUAGCAUGCGAACAGUCAUAUAUCGGGUGGUACACAUUACAUGAUUCUAUAUCGGAUGAUACGUGAUCUAUACCGAUCGAUAACGAUUGAAAUUUAAUUAUUACUGACUUGUACCAAUCGGUAACAAUUGAAUUUUGAUCGUUAUCAAUCAAGAGCUAAGAUUGUCUUAUUUUAAAUGAUCAAUUUGACUAUUUAAACUAUAAAAAAUAUUUUUAUAUCCUUUCCUCUCCCCACUCUUUCAACCCAUUUCACUCGAUCUUUUUAACUUUUUCAAACUCUUCUCACUCACAUCUUUUAUCUCAUUCUUAUAUUUUUACUUUCUUAAACUCAACAAAGCUAUAAUUAUAUAUUAAAUCAAAUAUAAGAUGUUAAUUUGAGAGGAUUAAAAAGAAUAACACUUUAAUUAAGAUAUAUAUAUAUAUAUAUUUCUUUUUAAAUUUUAUAUUUAUAUAUAAGAUAAUUAAGCUUAUUCUAUGUGGUCAUGUCUAUACAAUUUUAUACUUGUCACCCAAGAUUUAGAUCAUGAAACUCGACGAAAUACUAGUUAAGUUUAUACACGGGAGGGAAGGGAAAAACAAUGGAUGAUUUUGAAUAGAUGUGAUAGAGUAUACAUGACAUAGAUAUAGAUCAAACCUCGUCAUAUUCACAACCAUUGUAUUGUGAAGAAUCUUAAGACUAAUAGUAGUAUGAUGAUAGUUGAUUAUUCUUUUCCAAGUAGUAGUAUGAUGAUCAAUCUUAUGAUAUAGAGCAACAGAUCAGUGACGAAAGUAAAAGUUUAAACAUUCAUAAUGCUCCAUACUAAUAUAUGUCAUAAUUGUCCUUGCCUCAGGAGCCAUCUACGUGGUUCAUGACGAUCAACUUAUAACCAUCACAACAUUGAUGUACCAUUAACAUACGAUGUAUGUAACACCCUACUUCUACCCUACAUGUAUAACUAAAAUAUGAUGUCAUAUUUUAAAUUUUUAUUACUGCUAUCAAUAGGAGAGUAGUGAAAGUAGAUAAUCUUAAAAUUAAAACAUGCUAACUUACUUAACAAAAUGAUAGGAUUUCUCCUAUAUAUAGUAUUUUGGACAUUUAUACAUAAUUAUAGCCUCUAACUAAGAGAAAAACAUAAAUAUAACAAGUCCAAAAUUUAUACACACAAAACACCUACAGAACAUCAUGCAUAUCUAAGCUGGUAUAGGCUUGCAUAUACUCACUGCUCUACCCAAUCACUUGGGUGGGGUAUUAGUAAUGAGUACACUCAAUAAGUAUAAGCCCUUAUAGCUUUAUUUAGGUAGCAUAUAUCAUAUCAUAUAUGUAAUAUUUUAAAAUUAUUGGCGUAAGACAUUUAAUGGAAAACUCCCUUAUCAUAUAACUUCUUUAGUAAACAUAAUCCCACAACAUAGCAUAUAUAAAAUAAAGAGUUAAAGUUCUACUUCAAAAUAAUUCAAAAUGCUUAUAUGCAAAUAUAGGAAGUAUAAUAAAUUCAUUGACUUCUAUGCCCUACAUCAUAAUAUAUAUUUGCAUUCCCAUAUCAUAUGUUAUUAUAAUAUAUACGUGCACUCUCACACUACACGUCAUAAUAUUUACAUACACUCCCACAUUAUACAUCAUAGCAUAUACGUGCAUUACAUAUCAUAAUAUAUUCGUGUACUCACGUACCAUACAUCAUAGAAAAUAUAUACACUCUCAUACCAUAUGUCAUCAUAUAUGUAUACGUAUAUGAUAUUUUUAUCAUAAUUCAUAUAUUUUUAGACUUACAAAAUAUAUACAUUCAUAUUUAACUAAUGCUUUGCUCAUGACAAUCCUAUCAUUCGAAAUAUAAUUUUUAAAUUGUAUUAUACAUAUGACACCAUUAUUUUAUAGUAAAUUAAACUUAUACUUAAUUAAACUUAAAAAUAAAGAUAUUAAUAAAAAAUCAAGUUCUUUAAUAGUCGAAUGUAUUAGGGAGUGAUACUCCUUGGAGCAAAAGGUCAUGAGAUGUUUUAAUUAAUAAUCCUACCUCUUGAAUUAUUGAUUUAUAAUAAUUUAUAAUAAUAAUUCAUAAAAAAAAAAUUGAUAAAAAUCUCUUAUAAAAUAAAUUAUACUCAUCCUAAUAAUAUAUGAAGUUAUUCCUUCUCCAUGGUAGCUAAAAUUCAAAUUGAAUUAGUGUCGAAAGAUUAGAGAUCCAUGGCAAAGUAUGAUGUCGUAAUUACAUAUUAAUUGCGUCAUACAAAAAGGUGAAACAUCGUUUGUGCGUUCUUAUAUUUGCUUCCAUGUAAAAUGCUUUAAUUACAUUAAAUUAUAUGUGACAUUGACACAUAAACACACAGUUUUUAUUUAUUUUAAGAAAAAGAUAAAGUACAAAGUGACAAGUAAUUAUAUGCGACAUUGGCACAUAAACACACAACAGAGAGAGAGAGAGAGAGAGAGAGAGAGAGAGAGGAUAUAUAUAUAUAUAUAUAUANNNNNNNNNNNNNNNNNNNNGAGAGAGAGAGAGAGAGAGAGAGAGAGAGAGAGAGGAUAUAUAUAUAUAUAUAUAUAUAUAAGGCGGAGAUUCUUCGUGUCAUGUAUUAAGCUUCGGUGACAUCUCGAAUCAUGCGAUGGCACUGUGAUGGAGGUCGUUGUAGUAGACGACGUAGACGUCGUAGGCGACGACGAGCUUCGCGACAGAGGACGUCACCGUCUCGGUCACCAGCUUCCCCCAUGCGUACUGGAACACCCCCGUCCCUCCCACGAUGGCCCGCUCCGAGUUCCCGGACGCGUCCAGUCUCCCGAUCACCGUGAGAGUGCUGUUGACGAACUUCCCCGCCGUGAACACCAGCACCAGCGGUACCAGCAUCACCUCCUCCUGCAUUGAUACGUGGAAGCCCGCGCCCUGCACCCUUCCGAGGAAGGUGGAGCUUUCGUCGGGGCCGACCCUCAGCACCGUGUCGUAGAUCUCGAUGUUCCCGAAGGUGUAGGGGAGGCUCAUGUUCACCACGGUGACGGUGGUGUUGUCGGGACCGAUAAAGGUCUCGUGGAAGUAGACGCGGAAGUGGAUUCUCUUCUGGAUGCCGAGUUCGAACUCGGAGGUGACCGGGAAGGCCGUGGCAGCAGCCAGGAGGAGGAAGAAGACGAGGAGGUGGUGGAAAAGAGAGGAGCUGUGUGGGGACGACGCCAUGACUAGGGUGGUGGAUGGACAAGGAACGUGAAGUGAGAAGUGAGAUGAGCACAACAAUAAGAGGGAAAGUGUCUUUAUAGAGCAUUGGCUUAUGGCUCUGUCAUCAUCAUACAUAUCAUAUUUAUCACAGGUAAGUAUGAUGUACACAUCAUCAUAUUAAUAUUUAAGAGAUUAAAAUUAAAUAAUAUUUUGAAUCCUUAAUAUUCGAUAAAUAAGUCUUUUAGAUGUAAGAAUAUCUCAAAUAAAUUUUUGAAUAAUCAACCUUUGAUAAGUGGAUCAUCAUUAUAUUUAUACACGGAAAUGAAUCAUUUACAAUUAAUUAGACUUUGACAUGUUAAACUCAAUCAAUUCAUGAACUAUUAUUGAAAAUAUUUAUGGGUAUACGAUUAGAAAAAUAAGCUUAUAUGACUAAGGAUUGAAAGAAUCAGAUAACAUAAUAGUUUAAGUCUUUGGAUUGAAUUAAUAUCUUACUUGAUAUAUAUAUUAACUCUGAUCAAUUUGAUUCAAACUCAUCAAUAGUCAUACAACUAUGACAUGAACAAGCUCUAAAUUGAAGAUUUAUCGGGCAAGCUUAUUGAACUCAUCCAAGAGUCUUAUGGGUGCUAUUCAAAACAAAAUUGGACAAUCGUAUCCUCAUUGAACUUGGAAGAAAUCGACUCGAGCCACGUUAAUUUAGAUAUUGAGGUUGGAUUCCCCUAGUUGGACAUCUUAGUCGAACCUCAAAGUCAAAAGUCAUUCCAUCUUCCAACUAGAGCAACAAGAAUUCGGAAAAAAAUAAUGAACCAAAUCGAGUCAAGUUCGCCGGAUCUAAGUUCGACCGAAUGGUGUAUUUGGAGUCCAUCCUUCCAAUGCGGGGGGAAGAAGAUGGCAUAAAAUGCAAUAAGCGAUGCAUAAUAACACCGGUGGACGCCCGGUGAUUACAGCAUACGGGCUCUCGAUCGGUAGGUGCCUCGCUCUCCGCCUUCAGCAAGCAACGUAGACGUACAGCGACGGCUCUCGGUCGGUAGGUGCCUCGAAUGCAGGUGUCGCUGGGGAGAUGGGUGAUGGAGGUCCAAAAGAUGAGGCCAUUGACAUGAUCGAUGUCGACUGUAAUCUUCUCAUCUUAGGACAAGAUCUUCCACCUCACGGUCUCGUACGUUGCAUGGUGGGUGAACGAGGAGGAAGCCAUCGAUCGGGCGUUGGUUUCCUCCGUACACUUAUCUUUUCUCCAUGCUGUAGCUGUCGGUGAUCACAUUUGUUGCAUGUGAUACACGUUUUCUUUUUUUUUUUUCACCUUUGUCGUGUACUCUAAUUCUGAAAGAACCAUCACUUUCUGAUCACUGUACAUGACUGUGAUUCUUGCACAGUCAUUGAUCUAUUUCUUCUAAUAAUUGACUAUGAUUCUUGCACAAGAGAACUCGUAAAGCAUGAAAAUUUGAUAUUAUUAAUUAAUUUUAAUAAUAAUUUUAUUUUUAAAGUAAACAAAUAAAUUAAAAGAAAAUGGAGAAUUGCAUAUUCUCCACUCUGUUGAUACCCCUAUUUACUUGAGAGGAGACCAAUGUAGUUUCUACAAUCAAGUCAAACUAGAGUCUAAAUCAAAACUAUGUAGACCUCCCUUCCAUCCCUCUAGCUAGGUCUCAUUCGGUGCCAACCGACACCAUCGAAACUUUAGCUCAGUUUGCUUAAAUGUUCAGCUAGUAAACAUACAAACAUAUCACUUUCCAUCAAUAUAAAAGUACAUAUAUAUAUUACAAUAAUAUGUGAUAUGAUAGUACACACAUAUGUUAUGAUAUAAGGCGUAGAAGAUCAUACAUUUUUUAGGCUUCCUACAUGUGCAUAUAAGUAUUUGAAUUAUUUCGAUAUAAAAUUUUACCAUCUUAUUGUAUAUAUAAUGUGUUGUAGGAUUAUUUAUACAUGCUAAAGAAUUUAUAGGAUGAUGUGUCUAUCAUUAAAUACUUUAUGUUAAGGAUUUUAAAAUAUUAUAUACAUGAAAUGAUGUGCUCACAUAAAUAAAACAAUAAAGACUUAUAUUUACUGAGUGAUUAAUCACCGUAGAUCAUAUUUUACAGAUAAAAAUAUUAGUAUCCCACUCAAGUGAUUGUAUAGGGAAGUAAGCACAUGUAAGCCCAUGCUAGCAUAGAUAUGAACGAUGAUUUUUCAACAUUUUAUGUAUAUAAAUUUUGGACAUAUUAUAUUUAUGUUUUUAUUUGGUUAAAUGAUAUAAUCAUGUAUUUAAAACAUUAUGGAUAGGGGAAACCCUAUUAUUUUGUUUAGUAAGUUAGCAUGUUUUAAUUUUAGGAUUGUCAACUUUCCAUUGUAGUCAUAUUGAUAUCAGUAAUUAAAAUUUAAAAUGUAACAUCCUAUAUUAAUUAUACAUGUAAGAUAUGGAAGAAACUAGAAGUAGAGUAUUACAUAUUCAAUGUUCUUGAUAUCGAAUCCAUCUAUGAUAGACUCGGUGAAAGGCUACAGUUACAUCCAAGUCAUCCUUUAAAGAAUCAAAAUAUAUAUUAACAAUUAUGAAAUGUGAAAGAUUUUUUAACUAAUAAAUUAACUAGAAAAAUUGAAUGAACGAAUGAAUGCCAUGUUUAUGGGAGGAAUAGGUACAUGUCAUUUUGUCAAGGCACGUGAUUUAUUUGGAAUUUAAUGUAACUUAUUCGCAUUAUGUUGAUUAUAGUUUGCGACAAAUGUAAAGAUUCCAUAUCAAAAAAUAAAUUCCGAUGUGCAUGUGUUAGAUCCCUUAUGAAACUUAAUUAUUUAUAGAGUGACUUUAACAUAUAGUAAAUAAGUUUGUAUCUAUGUAACUUGGAUGAUCAUAUUGUGAAAUAUACAAAUAAUAUCUCAAGUUAUUCCUUCUCCGUAGUAGCUAAAUUUCAACUACAUUUGGUGUCGAAAGAUUAGAGAUCCAUGACAAAGUAUGAUGUUGUAAUUACAUAUUAAUUGCGUGAUAGAAAAAGGUGAAACAUCGUUUGUGUGUUCUCAUAUUGCUUCCUUGUCCGAUAAUUUAAUCGCAUUAAAUUAUAAGCGACAUUGAUAGGUUGAUGUUCACAAAAACACACAACACUAACAUUAUGACCCAUCGACCAUUUUGUACCCACUUGAUUCAGUUUUUAGAAUUAUAUUUGUCUGUUUCCAAAAAAAAAUAUUUCUUUAUGUAGUACGAAGUAUUUUUUUGAAUUAUAGUAUAUUAUAGUGAAAUUUUUGACAGAUAAGCUCACUCUACAGGAGAUGAGAUUUUUACCUCAUAACACUCAUCGCUUAAUUCUUUCCAAGUAAUUAGAUCCUUUUCAUCAAAGCAUUCAUAAUCUUUUAUAUAUAUAUAUAUAUAUUAUUGAAUUGAGCUGUACAAUAUUAUUUUAGUUGAUCUUAUUAACAACUUUAUAGUGUGGUCCGAUGCAUAAUACUGCUACUAAUCCUAAAUAGGAGAAGAAUAAAUUUACUAUAGUCAUAUAUACCUACAGCUAUGAAAAAUAAAGCAUGUCACCGUACUGUGCUGCAAAAUAUCGAGGUUUGUAAAAGCUUUUCUUUCUCAAUAAUAAGAAGCUUUUCUUUAUUUUAAGAUAAAGAUGGAAGUACAAAGUGACACGUAGAAUAGCAUUUAUUUCAGCCUUUUGUUUUGUCCUUAUUCCAACCGCUGUCUUCAUGGAGUGACACCAUAGCCGGAGUUCUUUUUGUCGUGUAUUAAGCGUCGGUGACGGCAAGGUCUCGCAAUCAUGGGCUGGCACUGCGACCGACGUCGGUGUAGUAGAUGACGUAGACGUCGAAGGCGGCGACGAGGCCCUCGACGGAGGACGUCACCAGCUCGCUCGCCAGCUUUCCCCAUGCGUACUGGAACACCCCCGUUCCACCCACGAUGGCCCGCUCCGCUUUCCCGGACGCGUCCAGUCUACCGAUCGCCGUGAGUGUGCUGUCGGCGAACUCCCCCGCCGUGAACACCAGUACCAGCGGUAUCAGAGACGCCUCCUCCUGCUGCGACAUGUGGAAGCCCGCGCCCUGCGCCCUUCCGACGACCGUCGAGCUAGCGUCGGAGCCGACCCUCAGCACGGCGUCGAAGAUGUCGAUGUCCCCGAAGGUGUAGGGGAGGCUCAUGUUCACCACGGUGACGGUGGUGUUGUCGGGGCCGAGAAAGGUCUCGUGGAAGUAGACGCGGAAGUGGAUUCUCUUCUGGAUGCCGAGUUCGAACUCGGAGGUGACGGGGAAGGCCGUGGCAGCAGCGAAGAGGAGGAAGAAGACGAGGAGGUGGUGGAUAGGAGAGGAGCUGUGUGGGGACGAAGCCAUGACUGGGGUGGUGGAUGGACAAGGAACGUGUUAUACUUGGCAAAGAUUGACAAGUGAGAGGAGCACAAGGCUGGAGGAGGGAGAGCGUAUUUAUAGAGUAUUGGCUAUGUCAUCGUCGUGCAUAUAUCAUAUCUAUCAUAUUAGACGAUAUUUUAGACUCUCUUAAAAAGGUAAGUAUGUAAGCAUCAUCAUAAUAAUAUUUUAGAGAUUAACAUUAGAAAGGAUUUCAAAUCCUCAAUUCAAAGUUGAGUCUUUUAGAUGUAAGAAUACCUCAAACAAAAUUUUUGAAUCAUCAAACAAUAAGUGAAUUUUCAUCAUGUUCAAAGAUUAAAAUGAAUCAUAUACAAUUAAUGAGACUUAGCAUGAUAAAUUUAAGUAAUUAUUAUUGAAAAUAUUUAUGCAUGUGAGAUAAAAAAAGAUGAGCGAAAAGUAAUAUAUGACUAAAGAUUGAAGGAAUCAGAGUACAGAAAGUCGGUUUGACAAGUAACACCACGUUUAGCCUUCCUCUUGAACGCCGGUCUCGUUCCAAAAUCGCCGGACGGACCACUUCGCUCUCCGCCGACAACACGCAACGUGUAGCUUCGCUGGGAUACGGGUGAUGCAGGUCAAAGAAGAUGAAGCCAUCGACAUGAACGAUGUGGACUGUAAUCGUCUCCAUCCUCGUCUUCUCAUCUUAGGACUAUAUCUUCCACCACACCGAAUCAUUCGUUGUAUGGUAGGUGAACAAGGAGGAAAGCCAUCAUCCAUGGGACUGCUUUUGGUUGGUUAAUCCUCACACUAGCUUCUCUCGAUGCUGUACCUGAUGGUGAGGCUUCUUGUGCACGUUUUGUUUCCAAAAAAUCUGUCUAUUUUGUUGAGAAAAUAUUUUCAUCUUAAUCAGUAUAAAUAGGGGGAAAAUAGCUUCAAUGUAAAACAGUUUUUUCAAUAAUUCUUCUUGUCUUCUAUUCUUUCCAACAUGAUAUCAGAGCAAGUGAGAAGAGCGAGACUCCAUGGCCAUCGAAGCCUGUUAUUCACCACAUCUCUUACCUUUGUAGAGCAGAGAAGGGGGUGAACUCUUUUCCAUCGGACUCGCUUCCCUGUCGGACUCCCCUCUCCGUCCGCUGAUACCCCAGUCGCUGUCGUGACCACACCCGGCAUCGCAAUCAUGUGCGACCACAACAACGAGGGCCUGUUUUGGUGCGACUGGCUACUCGCCCUCGGCAGUGGAUCCCUCUCCAACCCUGUCCGCUCCUUCCCUCUUCUCCUCCAUGCGGCUUUCUUCUUCAUCGGCGUCGCCUGCACCGACCCUAAGCUCGGGUUAUCUACCGCCAUAUCAUCAUCUUCAUCAGGUUGUGAUCUAUAUCAAUCGCAGCCUGCUGCCUCGGUGUCAACUGUCGAUCCUUAGCUCCUACUAAGAGCUAAUCGCUACAGCUUCCUCCUACUGCAGCUUCCUCAUGUUGCAGCAUCGUUGUAGCUUCCUCCUCUGUUGCAGCAUCGUUGCGGCUUCCUCCUCUGUUGUAGUUUCUGCUGUAGCUUUCUCCUAUGCUGGAGCAUUGCUGCAACUACCUCCUUUGCUCCGACUUCCUCCUUUAUUACAUCUAUGCUGCAGCUACCUCUUCUACUAUAGCUUCCUCCUCUAUUGUAGCAUUACUACAGCAUCGCUGCAGCUUUCUCCUAUACUGUAGCUUCCUCCUCUUCUGUAGAAUCACUGCAGAUUCCUCCUCUGCUAUAGCAUCGUUGCAGCUACCUCCUCUUCUGCAUCUACCUCCUCUACUGUAGCAUGAUAGCAGAUAAGAUUUCUCUAACUAUAUGAGAAAAUCUAGAGUUGAGAGAAAUCCUCCCUCUUAAUCUGUAUAAAUAGGGAGAGAAUACCUUCAAUGUAAAAUAGUUUCUUCAAUAAUUCUUCUUGUCUUCUAUUCUUCCCAACAGAUAAAAAGGGAUGUGGACGAGGCCAUCAAAAGGAACACACGUCAUUUAUGAUUACUGCUCGCUGCUCUUUGUUACUCGCCGAUGUCCUCAUCCAUCAGUAUGAACUGGAUGAGAGAAUAAUAUUCAAAAUACUCAGUUAAUAUUUUUCUUACUAACAGGAGUUUCUAUAGCUCAUGAUUCAUAACUUUAUUUUUGUCCCUUGUAUAAGAGCUGAUUUAAGUUUCUGUAUAGUUUUAUCAAUCGUGUUUUUUAUGCUAGUUUUACUUAUGACGCUGAAUGGCUUAUCUUAAUUACUAAUUGAGCAUUCAUCUCAUUAAGCAUUUAAUUAGAUGACACAGGGCACAUGCUCACGGUCACUUAUGGCUCCUCUUGCCAUCCUUCACGUGCAUGAUAUAUAUAUAUAUAUAUAUNNNNNNNNNNNNNNNNNNNNNNNNNNNNNNNNNNNNNNNNNNNNNNNNNNNNNNNNNNNNNNNNNNNNNNNNNNNNNNNNNNNNNNNNNNNNNNNNNNNNNNNNNNNNNNNNNNNNNNNNNNNNNNNNNNNNNNNNNNNNNNNNNNNNNNNNNNNNNNNNNNNNNNNNNNNNNNNNNNNNNNNNNNNNNNNNNNNNNNNNNNNNNNNNNNNNNNNNNNNNNNNNNNNNNNNNNNNNNNNNNNNNNNNNNNNNNNNNNNNNNNNNNNNNNNNNNUUGGACGUCACCAGUUUGCUCACCAUGUUCCCCCACGCGAACUGGAACACCCCAGUCCCUCCCACGAUGGCCCGGUCCGCCUUCCCGGAGGUGUCCAUCCUCCCUAUCAACGUGAGCGUGCUGUCGCAGAAGUCCCCGGCCGUGAACACCAGCACCAGCGGUAUCAGCGACGACUCGUCCCGCUGCGACGCGUGGAAGCUCACGCCCUGCGCCCUCCCGACUUCAGUCGAACGCUUGGAGGGGCCGGUCCUCAGCACGGCGUCGAAGAUGUCGACGUCCCCGAAGGUGUUGGGGAGGCUCAUGUUCACCACGGUGACGGUGGUGUUGUCGGGGCCGAGAAAGGUCUCGUGGAAGUAGACGCGGAAGUGGAUUCUGCUCUGCCGGCCGAGUUCGAACUCGGAGGUUACCGGGAAGGCUGUGGCAGCAGCCAGGAGGAGGAAGAAGACAAGGAGGAAGUAGAGAUGAGAGGAGCUGUGUGGGGAUGAAGCCAUGGCUAGGAUGACCGAAGGAUCGAAUUGAGGUGGGUACAACGCUGGAUCAGGAACAUGUAUUUAUAGAGUAAUGUCUGUGCCAUGCGUCGUCAACAAAAGCCAACUUCCAACCAAAUCUCAUUAUCAUGUCUACAUAAAAAACCCAAACGAAUAUUACUCUUGCAGGCGAAGGUCUCAGCGUAGGGAAGAAGAUAGCAUAUGGUAACACGAUGUACACACCAUAUAGUCUUCUCCAUAUAUAUAUAUAUAUAUAUAUAUAUAUAUAUAUGAUGUCGAGCAAUGGAGAUGGGUAACUGAGAGAUGGAGGGAUGAUAGUUGCAAGCAAUGGGCGAUGAGGAUAGUGUUGCGUCUUCUGCAAGUGCCAACUGGCCACCUGUAGCUCGUCAAUUUGCUUGUUAAUUAACGAACCACAUUGGCAACGCUAUCUUUCUUAAUGUGUUUCACCACAGAUGUACGCGGUUGGCUGAUGGCUGUCGCUCCCGUUUGUUCGCAUCUUCGGUUGUUGACAUGUGGAAAUGAAGUGUCGGUUCCCAUGCGUGAUCGGUACCUCACCACUCCACUUCAAGUCGCGACGUAAUUAAUGACCGACGGUGCGAUGCAAAACCUUCACUCGCCAAUCAAGUCAUUCGUGACUCAUGUGGGGCCAUUAACCAUCUUUUUGCUCUACAGUAAUCAAAGAAAAGCUCACAUGAUGUGUUCUCAUAUCAGCAUACAAAUGAAUUUUAUGUGACUUUUAAUAUACAUACAUAUUCUCUCCUGUCAAAACAUAUCCUAAACUCAUGUUUAUUUUUACCAUUAUAUAUAUCAUCACGAGACCAAAAGACAAAAAGGCAUGGGAUAACAUAACGCAUGUCAAUGUUUCCAUGUGAAUCACGCCUACAGAAUCCUUCACCUACCGAAGGUGUGGUUGGUUGUCAAAGUUCAUCAUUAUUAUGUAAGGGACAUUUUUCUCAGCAUAUCGUCAAAUGCCAGCGCAUGACGUGUUACCUUUCAAAGUGCAUAGUUGACCCAUUCCGCGUGUAAUGUCUCCUACUUAGUUGUCCCUUCACGCAAUGCAUUUCUUUAUCAGUAUACGUAUACUUCACCUGUUCAUAGCAUCCAUAUUAAAGCUUAUGUAGGUGCAGCGAAAUUAGUUAAUCGUCUAUAAAUAGGAUAGAAAUGGAUAACAAGUCUUAUUAAAGCCAUUAAUUAAGAAUUUAGAAUAGAGAUAGUAUCAUAUUUGAUUUCACAUUGAUCAGAGACUUAGAGAAUCAAUACCUAAUACCUAAUAAAGAGUCAAAUACAAAUUUUCGUUUUUUGACAGACAACUUUUGGGAUCCACCUUAGGAAAGGAAAGAUCAUGUGGUCCCGCUUAACAAUUUAUGAUUCAAAAGAGCUCGUGAUUGAAUAGUUUGUGAAAAUAAGAAUAUUAUUUGGAUAAAAAUAAAUAGUAAAAAAAGGAUCAAAUGAUAUAUGGACACGUGGCAUAUUCACCGAUCUUUAAAGCAGCCGAUCGCACGAGUAGUAAGAACUACCAAAGCUCUCUCCACGAUGAGAAAGGGCAACGAAGGCGGGGGAGUGACGAUGUGAAAGAAUCAUAAAGACGAUUGUUAGCAACCCUUGUGGUCGAGGUGCCAGCGUGGUUCGAUCCAAUCCUAAAUGCGCUUGUCCACGUAGAUGCUCGAGUGAUGGAAGUGAGCAUUAUGUCGUGUUGAGUUUGAGCCUCGUCUAUCUCAAUAUAGUUUCUCUCUUGGUGAGUGGCCUGCUUAUUUAUCACCGGACACAGGUUAGGGUCGAGAGGAAGAUUUUUUGAUUUGACCCUUGCGAAAGUUAAAUUAGUGUUGGGUGAAGUAAGAGGGAGUUAAAUGCUCAAAGUUCUUCCCAUGAUGUCAAUUAUUGGGUUGACUUUUAUACAUGCGAACAAAGUUCUUCACUGCUUCAGUAUGAUAUUCGAUUUAUAGAUGAAAGGUUAUGUUUUUCUUCAGCUUCAUGUUGCUCAUGGUCCAAAGUGAACUUGCUAAAAGAAAAAACACUGUCAUGAUUAUGAUGGAAUAAUAUUUCAAACACUUAGAUUUUUAAUAUAAAAUUGUAUGUAUCUAAGAGCUGGUUGGAGAAUUGUAUAAGAUAUGUCUAUAGUUCAACGAGUUCUGAUAUUUUUGGAGUUUGUUGCAAUAGGAUUUUAUUCGUAAUAUUAAUAAACGAGAUCGAAUAAUUCUUUUUAUUUUAGCCUUAUUAUUUAUUCUGCAGACGUAAAGCAAGAUAAACAUUGUUAGCUCUUAUUUAAUUGCUGUAGCUUUCGUUAUCGUGUCUCGGAUCACGCGAUGGAAGUGAGACGGACGUCGUUAUGGUACAUGACGUAGACCACGAAGGCGACGACGAGUCCUGCGACAUCGGACGUCACCUGCUUGCUCACCACGUUCCCCGACGCGAACUGGAACACCCCCGUCCCUCCCACGAUGGCCUGGUCCGCCUUCCCGGACGCGUCCAUCCUUCCGAUCACCGUGAGCGUGCUGUCGCAGAAGUUUCCCGCCGUGAACACCAGCACCAGCGGUAUCAGCGACGACUCGUCCCGCUGCGACACGUGGAAGCUCACGCCCUGCGCCCUUCCGACUUCAGUCGACCACUUGGAGGGGCCGAUCCUCAGCACGGCGUCGAAGAUGUCGACGUCCCCGAAGGUGUAGGGGAGGCUCAUGUUCACCACGGUGACGGUGGUGUUGUCGGGCCCGAGAAAGGUCUCAUGGAAGUAGACGCGGAAGUGGAUUCUCUUCUGGAUGCCGAGUUCGAACUCGGAGGUGACGGGUAAGGCCGUGGCAGCCGCAAGGAGGGGGAAGAGGACGAGGAGUAAGUAGAGAUGAGAGGAGCUGUGUGGGGAUGAAGC